Molecule: ribosomal RNA, 194 nt
Filed under: uncultured bacterium
Lineage: Bacteria
Description: partial 16S ribosomal RNA
Rfam family: Bacterial small subunit ribosomal RNA
Source: RNAcentral
CCUACGGGAGGCAGCAGUGGGGAAUAUUGCACAAUGGGCGCAAGCCUGAUGCAGCCAUGCCGCGUGUAUGAAGAAGGCUUCGGGUUGUAAAGUACUUUCAGCGGGGAGGAAGGGAGUAAAGUUAAUACCUUUGCUCAUUGACGUUACCCGCAGAAGAAGCACCGGCUAACUCCGUGCCAGCAGCCGCGGUAAUA